RNAcentral lists this ribosomal RNA (92 nucleotides) under Paraburkholderia silvatlantica. Lineage: Bacteria; Pseudomonadati; Pseudomonadota; Betaproteobacteria; Burkholderiales; Burkholderiaceae. The record is from RNAcentral.
UCCCACCCCUUCCCAUCCCGAACAGGACCGUGAAACGACUCCACGCCGAUGAUAGUGCGGAUUGCCCGUGUGAAAGUAGGUAAUCGUCAGGC